GGUAAGAUGGCUGAAUAAUAAGCAUUAGACUGUAAAUCUAAAUAUAAAGGUAAUAUCCUUUUCUUACCA
Molecule: transfer RNA, 69 nt
Filed under: Proechimys guyannensis (Guyenne spiny-rat)
Lineage: Eukaryota; Metazoa; Chordata; Mammalia; Rodentia; Echimyidae
Description: tRNA-Tyr
Rfam family: tRNA
About the family: Transfer RNA (tRNA) molecules are approximately 80 nucleotides in length. Their secondary structure includes four short double-helical elements and three loops (D, anti-codon, and T loops).
Source: RNAcentral